Molecule: long non-coding RNA, 160 nt
Organism: Rana temporaria (common frog)
Lineage: Eukaryota; Metazoa; Chordata; Amphibia; Anura; Ranidae
Exons: 3
Source: RefSeq, a predicted model, not a curated record
UGUCAGAUCAUUCAUCCCUACUGAUCCUCCUACAGAUACAUACAUUGUCAGGUCAUUCAUCCCUACUGAUCACCCUACAGAUACAUACAUUGUCAGGUCAUUCAUCCCUACUGAUCACCCUACAGAUACAUACAUUGUCAGGUCAUUCAUCCCUACUGAU